RNAcentral lists this ribosomal RNA (450 nucleotides) under uncultured Diversispora. RNAcentral describes it as "SSU rRNA". It matches the Rfam family "Eukaryotic small subunit ribosomal RNA", at positions 569 to 1022 of the family's 1831-position model. Lineage: Eukaryota; Fungi; Glomeromycota; Glomeromycetes; Diversisporales; Diversisporaceae. The record is from RNAcentral.
AGCAGCCGCGGUAAUUCCAGCUCCAAUAGCGUAUAUUAAAGUUGUUGCAGUUAAAAAGCUCGUAGUUGAACUUCGGGGUUUACCCAUUGGUCAGGCUUAAUUGUCUGUACUGGUGAGAUAAAUCUCUACCUUCUGAGGAACUUUCAUGUCAUUAAUUUGGUGUGAUUGGAAAUCAGGACUGUUACUUUGAAAAAUUAGAGUGUUUAAAGCAGGCUAACGUCUGAAUACAUUAGCAUGGAAUAAUGAAAUAGGACGGAUUGAUUCUAUUUCGUUGGUUUCUAGGAUCACCGUAAUGAUUAAUAGGGAUAGUUGGGGGCAUUAGUAUUCAAUUGUCAGAGGUGAAAUUCUUGGAUUUAUUGAAGACUAACUACUGCGAAAGCAUUUGCCAAGGAUGUUUUCAUUAAUCAAGAACGAAAGUUAGGGGAUCGAAGACGAUCAGAUACCGUCGUA